RNAcentral lists this long non-coding RNA (1016 nucleotides) under Phoenix dactylifera (date palm). RNAcentral's name for it is "long non-coding RNA (PDAC_LNC007890)". The record is from RNAcentral. Lineage: Eukaryota; Viridiplantae; Streptophyta; Magnoliopsida; Arecales; Arecaceae.
CAACACCUCAAACACCCAGUCUUCUGCAACGAAUCUGCAGCCUUCAACAUCCGCAGCCAAGCUUCUCUGUAUCAAGAUCCGAACCACAGCAGCCCACGAAUCCCUGCAUGCAGCCAACGACUUCGAUCCAUCCUUAUCUUGACAUGAAAUAGGAAAAGAAGAGAGAAGUUGCAGCCUAUAAAAGGCCCAGAUGUGAAACAGGGGAGGGCACUUCUCUUCGGCGACUCCUUAGAAUAUUUUACCUGAAGGGGGAGGAGGGAGCCCGCUGAUCCCAAUCGGCUCUUCUCAGGUUGAGCUUCCACCAAAGUAAGAAGGGAGAGAAUACUUUGGGUCUUUUUGGAAAUGCCUUCUCAAAAGAAAAAAAUAAUGAAUUGCUAGAGAAGGAAGGAGAGAUCCAGGGAAGGGAGGAAGAAAAGAAGAAAUGGGAGCCCGCUGCUGUGCCACUGCUGCUGUCACCCACGACUCCAUGGAAGGCUGAUCUCCUCUCUAGGGCCAGAUGCAGCCCUAACAAAGGGCUAAGGGUUUUGUAUUUUUGAUUUUUAUUCUUGGAGUUGUAUAAACUUUAUUUUGCUCUUAAUGAAUAUUUUAUUUCAUCUCAUAUUUAAUUUCUGUGAUUUUAAAUAUGACGUUUAUACAACUGUUCUUCAUGAUCACUAAGUAAAUAUGAGAUAGUUCAUGCUUAAGGAAGAUGCAGUAUCCUGCCACAUUAGUUUAUGGUAGACAUUUCAUGCUAACUGAAAAUAGAUUAUUCCCAAAUUGCUUUUGUGAAUUUCUAUUUAAAUGCUUAUUAGGCUUGUAGCCAAUUUGCAUGUUAAUCCAAGAAUAAAUUAAAAUACAAUUAAUCCUUGUUCCAAUGUUAGUGGUGAAUUCCUUGCCCUAGGUUCCCUCAAACUGAUAAUACCUUAAUUGCAUUUUUUAUUAAAUUCCUUAGUUUAAUUUUCUUCACAAACUCUUCCUUUUAAAUAUUUUUAUUUUUAAGAAAACAACUGUACCCCAAUUCCUGUGGAUCGAUACCC